CUUCAAGCUUGGCGAGCCUCUCCCGACUCUUCCACUUCAUCUUCUCCAAUCUCUAUCUUUUGUUUUUGCGUUAUCUUCUCCUUCCUCGCUUCUCUCCCAUGAGAAGCCUCUGUCUUUCCUCUCGAUGUCCCUCUCCGUCUCCGAAGCUGCCGCUCCUCCUCCUUUGGCUUCAGCUAUUCCUUUGCCUUUUAUAUCUUCCCUCGGAGAUUUGAUCUACCGCUUCCGUCGACAGUAGAAGAUAAGAACUGUCAGGAGAAAGAUGAAGAUCAGAAUUCCGCCGGCGGCGCUUCCAGCGAUGAUUCCGAUUAGUUUCCCUGUGAUCACAGAUCUUCUUUAUUUUUUUCUUAUCCACCAAUUUCUUGGCAAUUUAGGAAUUCAGAAACAGAAUAUUUCUUAUGGCUAUUUGUUCACCAAUUUGGGAGGUCAGCCAUUUGGUCAAGUCCCAGUUUUACUAGACGGACAUCUAAAGUUGACUGAAUCCCGAGCCAUAUCACUAUACAUCGAGAGUGCUCAUAGACAUUUAUUUUCCUCAAACUUUCCCUAAUGACAACUUUGCAGCCUCAUUUAUCCUGAAGACAGGCAGCUCAGAAUGUAAAAAUUGAGGUCAACUGAUGGGCGUCCAUAUGCUGCUGCUAGAUUCCAAGUUUUGCAAAGAGAUUUCCGAAAACCCAAUUCACUCUGCUCCAGUUGCAACCAAAGGCAUAAGCGUCAAUGAACCUGUAAUAUGGAUGGUUUUGGGAGAGGUGAUGCCCGACCGAAGCGUUGUUGGUUGGAUUCUUAGGGAUGUGAAGGGAGAAAUGAAGUGUCUUAGAGGAGCCCCAUCUGUUUCGAGGUCCUUUACUGACUUGUGAGAUGAAGCAGAAGCAUUGAUAUGAUAUGGAGUGUUAUUUGUAUACUUGGGCUAUAAGAAAUUCAGCAUUUUACCACCUUGGCUCUGACCAAUGUGAAGUUAGAGGUCAGCUGUUUCAAGGAAAGUGACGUCUCAUAGUUCAAUUUAUACUUUUGUUGAUUUUGGUGGAACGAAUGGUGUUAUUUUAAUAAUGCCGAGAUCUGUUUGAUGAAUUUCUAGGAGGCUAGGAACACUGUCAAACAAGAGGGAGCCAUUUACAAGAUCAGUGGCUUUGAUGUUGCAAGAAGCAACACCCACUUUAAACUCUCUACAACGAUGUGUCUUAGUGUUUUUUGACGAACUGUGUCAUGCAUCUUUUCUUUGAUCGCCAUCACGUCCAUGUGCAGCAACAUUUGCAAAUCAUGGAGGGAACGAUUUUCCUGGAGAUAAAACGCCUGGUGUCAAAUAUCUUCCCUGCAGCUGCUCUGAUGGAGAAAGGUCAAAUGGUAAUGACCAGAGCAACGAAAGUGUGUAAACCCCUCGAACCUGUCGAGCCCAUCCGGUGGAGCAGCUACAGUUGCAGAAUACAAUUGUGAGCAGACUAUCAUGAUGAAGACCCGGUUCAAGUUGCAAGAAACACACUAAAGAAGGCACUCACCGAGUAAUUGCUAAGGCUAUCGAACUUGAGACCUCACUAUUUCCCUUUUGCUUCAUUGCAGUAUUGUUUAUAAAAAAAGAAAUUCAUAGUUUGUUUUGUUUCAUGGACCAUGUUUGCAACUUCUACCACAAUUAAAACUUAUUAUUACUUAUUACAUUCACGUGUU
Long non-coding RNA from Brassica rapa (field mustard), 1653 nucleotides. RefSeq lists it as uncharacterized. NCBI's taxonomy places the organism in Eukaryota, Viridiplantae, Streptophyta, Magnoliopsida, Brassicales, Brassicaceae. The record is from RefSeq and is a predicted model, not a curated record.